GCCGGGCGCCGUGGCGGGCGCCUGUAGUCCUAGCUACUCAGGAGGCUGAGGCAGGAGAAUGGCGUGAACCCAGGAGGCGGAGCUUGCAGUGAGCCGAGAUCGCGCCACUGCACUCCAGCCUGGGCAACAGCGUGAGACUCCGUCUCAA
Molecule: unclassified non-coding RNA, 148 nt
Organism: Macaca fascicularis (crab-eating macaque)
Lineage: Eukaryota; Metazoa; Chordata; Mammalia; Primates; Cercopithecidae
Rfam family: Metazoan signal recognition particle RNA
About the family: The signal recognition particle (SRP) is a universally conserved ribonucleoprotein.
Source: Ensembl